This is a non-coding RNA of Microcebus murinus (gray mouse lemur), 1018 nucleotides long. Lineage: Eukaryota; Metazoa; Chordata; Mammalia; Primates; Cheirogaleidae. The record is from RefSeq and is a predicted model, not a curated record.
AAAAGAAUCUUCAAUUACCUUGUUGGCAACAAAAUUAGGUAUGGAAAAUUGUAGGUAUGUCAGGUUACUAUGUUUUGUGGCCAUAAAAGUAGUAUCAAAACCUCAUCAACCGGGAAGUGCCAGUAGCGCGCAAGCAGGAAGUGGUGUUUCCUGGAGUAGAGAUGGCCGCGCUUGCUCCGCUGCCCCCGCUCCCCCCCCAGUUUAAGAGUAUACAGCAUCAUCUGAGGACGGCUCAGGAGCAUGACAAGCGGGACCCUGUGGUGGCUUAUUACUGUCGUUUAUAUGCUAUGCAGACUGGAAUGAAGAUUGACAGUAAAACUCCUGAAUGUCGUAAAUUUUUAUCAAAGCUAAUGGAUCAGUUAGAAGCUCUCAAGAAACAGUUGGGUGAUAAUGAAGCCAUUACUCAAGAAAUAGUUGGUUGUGCCCAUUUGGAGAAUUAUGCUCUGAAAAUGUUUUUGUAUGCAGACAAUGAAGAUCAUGCUGGGCGAUUUCACAAAAACAUGAUCAAGUCCUUCUAUACUGCAAGUCUUUUAAUAGAUGUCAUAACAGUAUUUGGAGAACUCACUGAUGAAAAUGUGAAACACAGGAAAUAUGCAAGGUGGAAAGCAACAUACAUCCACAAUUGUUUAAAGAAUGGGGAGACCCCACAAGCAGGCCCUGUUGGAAUUGAAGAAGAUAAUGACAUUGAAGAAAAUGAAGAUGCUGGAGCAACCUCUCUGCCCACUCAGCCACCUCAGCCAUCAUCAUCUUCAACUUACGACCCAAGCAACAUGCCAUCGGGCAACUAUACUGGAAUACAGAUUCCUCCAGGCGCACAUGCCCCAGCUAAUACACCAGCAGAAGUGCCUCACAGCACAAGUAGGAAACUAAAACUGAACAAUUUUUUAAUUCCCCUUUUAUAAAUAAUUGCUGUACUACUUAUCAUAUUUGUGCUUCAUAAUGAUAGCCGUGAACAUAUAUGGUCCUUAAAUUCCAUUUGAACCCACCAAAAAAUUAAAUUCUUUAAUUGAAGUUUUAA